CCCGACUGCUAUUUGGGUGAGGAUAAGCCAUGCGAGUUGAAUGGGAAACCUAAAGUUCCCAUGGCAAACUGCUCAGUAACACAUGAUCAACUUACCCUAUAGAGAAAAAUAACCACGGGAAACUGAGGAUAAUGUUUCAUAGUUGAAUUGGCUUGGAAAAGUUUUUCGACGAAAGGGGUAAAAAAAAUGGUUUUUAUCUGCUAUAGGAUAGGAUCGUGUUCGAUUAUGGUUGUUGGUGAGGUAAUGGCUCACCAAGCCGAUAAUCGAUAGGGGCCGUGAGAGCGGGAGCCCCGAGAUGGGUACUGAGACAACGACCCAGGCCUUACGAGGCGCAGCAGGCGCGAAACCUCCGCAAUACACGAAAGUGUGACGGGUUACCCAAAGUGUUCAAUUUUGAACUGUGGUAGGUGAGUAAUGUUCCCUACUAGAAAGGGGAGGGCAAGGCUGGUGCCAGCCGCCGCGGUAAAACCAGCUCUUCAAGUGGUCGGGAUAAUAUUGGGCUUAAAGUGUCCGUAGCCGGUUUGGUAAGUUCCUGGUAAAAUCGGGUAGCUUAACUAUCUAUAUGCUAGGAAUACUGCUAUACUAGAGGGCGGGAGAGGUCUGAGGUACUGCAGGGGUAGGGGUGAAAUCUUAUAAUCCUUGUUGGACCACCAGUGGCGAAGGCGUCAGACUGGAACGCGCCUGACGGUGAGGGACGAAAGCCAGGGGAGCGAACCGGAUUAGAUACCCGGGUAGUCCUGGCCGUAAACGAUGCAUACUAGGUGAUGGCACGGCCAUGAGCCGUGUCAGUGCCGUAGGGAAACCGUUAAGUGUGCCGCCUGGGAAGUACGGUCGCAAGGCUAAAACUUAAAGGAAUUGGCGGGGGAGCACCACAAGGGGUGAAGCCUGCGGUUCA
RNAcentral lists this ribosomal RNA (895 nucleotides) under uncultured archaeon. RNAcentral describes it as "bacterial SSU rRNA". It matches the Rfam family "Archaeal small subunit ribosomal RNA", at positions 21 to 904 of the family's 1478-position model. The record is from RNAcentral.